This 531-nucleotide ribosomal RNA is filed under the name Yamadazyma atlantica. RNAcentral describes it as "eukaryotic LSU rRNA". It matches the Rfam family "Eukaryotic large subunit ribosomal RNA", at positions 62 to 649 of the family's 3401-position model. Lineage: Eukaryota; Fungi; Ascomycota; Pichiomycetes; Serinales; Debaryomycetaceae. The record is from RNAcentral.
AAACCAACAGGGAUUGCCUUAGUAGCGGCGAGUGAAGCGGCAAUAGCUCAAAUUUGAAAUCUGGCGCCUUCGGUGUCCGAGUUGUAAUUUGAAGAAGGUAUCUUUGGUUUUGGCUCUUGUCUAUGUUUCUUGGAACAGGACGUCAUAGAGGGUGAGAAUCCCGUCUGAUGAGAUGCCCAAUUCCAUGUAAAGUUCCUUCGACGAGUCGAGUUGUUUGGGAAUGCAGCUCUAAGUGGGUGGUAAAUUCCAUCUAAAGCUAAAUAUUGGCGAGAGACCGAUAGCGAACAAGUACUGUGAAGGAAAGAUGAAAAGAACUUUGAAAAGAGAGUGAAAAAGUACGUGAAAUUGUUGAAAGGGAAGGGUUUAAGGUCAGACUUGGUUUACCAGGCCAGCAUCGGUUUAGAUGGCAGGAUAAUGGCGUAGGAAUGUGGCUUUGCUUCGGUAAAGUGUUAUAGCCUGCGUUGAUACUGCCUAUUUAGACCGAGGACUGCGUCUUUGACAAGGAUGCUGGCAUAAUGGCCUUAAGCCACC